UAGAUAAGAUGAGUUUGUUCUCUUUUCAAUGGAGCCAAAUGAAAUCUAAAAUACCAUUUUAAACAUUUUAAUCAAAGCAUCUAGUUAAGAAGAUUGCCCCUAGGAUUCCCACACUCAUACACGCACUGGUUAGUUGUAAUGAUCGCCAGGUUGGUGAAGAAAUGUUUUCAUUUCGUGGAAGUUUAUUUAGUGUUAAAAUAAUUCGUGCUAAAAAGCUGUCAUCAAAGUAUCCUAUGUUCUAAUUAGCUGACUUAUACAUGUCUUUAAGCAAAUAAAAUUUUAUAAUGAAGUU
Parasteatoda tepidariorum (common house spider) is the source of this 292-nucleotide long non-coding RNA. The record is from RefSeq and is a predicted model, not a curated record. Lineage: Eukaryota; Metazoa; Arthropoda; Arachnida; Araneae; Theridiidae.